This 369-nucleotide ribosomal RNA is filed under the name uncultured Glomeromycotina. RNAcentral's name for it is "eukaryotic LSU rRNA". The record is from RNAcentral. Lineage: Eukaryota; Fungi; Glomeromycota.
GAAAGGGAAACGAUUGAAGUCAGUCGUACCGACGAGAAAUCAACUUAUCGUGUGCGAACUUGUGGGCGUGCGUGAGUUUCGGCCUCGCUGUUUGCAUGUUUGUGCGUUUUGGGUGUACUUUUUCGUAUGGUAGGCCAACGUCAGUUUCGAUUAUCAUAAAAUGACCGGCGGAAUGUAGCUUCGAUUUCGGUUGAAGUGUUAUAGCCUCUGGUAGAUGUGGUGAUUGAGACUGAGGAUUGCAACGAAUACCCUUUGGGCUAUCCGUCUGGCCUCUGAAAGUUGCUCAGGUGCCGAAAGCGUGCUUACGGUCAUCUAAGAUAACGUUCAACAGGUUAGAACGUGAUUACAUUCGUUAAGGAUGUUGACGUA